UACGGAGGGUGCGAGCGUUAAUCGGAAUUACUGGGCGUAAAGGGCGCGUAGGCGGUGAAGUCAGUCGGGUGUGAAAGCCCCGGGCUCAACCUGGGAACUGCAUCCGAUACUGCUUCGCUAGAGUAUGGUAGAGGGAAGCGGAAUUCCGGGUGUAGCGGUGAAAUGCGUAGAUAUCGAGAGGAACACCUGCGGCGAAGGCGGGUAGCUGGGCCGACACUGACGCUGAGGCGCGAAAGCUAGGGGAGCGAACGGGAUUAGAAACCCGUGUAGU
RNAcentral lists this ribosomal RNA (271 nucleotides) under uncultured bacterium. RNAcentral describes it as "partial 16S ribosomal RNA". It matches the Rfam family "Bacterial small subunit ribosomal RNA", at positions 524 to 794 of the family's 1533-position model. The record is from RNAcentral.